RNAcentral lists this ribosomal RNA (496 nucleotides) under uncultured bacterium. RNAcentral describes it as "partial 16S ribosomal RNA". It matches the Rfam family "Bacterial small subunit ribosomal RNA", at positions 29 to 507 of the family's 1533-position model. The record is from RNAcentral.
AUGAACGCUGGCGGCGUGCCUAAUACAUGCAAGUCGCGCGAACGGACGAGAAGCUUGCUUCUCUGAUGUUAGCGGCGGACGGGUGAGUAACACGUGGAUAACCUACCUAUAAGACUGGGAUAACUUCGGGAAACCGGAGCUAAUACCGGAUGAUAUUUUGAACCGCAUGGUUCAAAAGUGAAAGACGGUCUUGCUGUCACUUAUAGAUGGAUCCGCGCUGCAUUAGCUAGUUGGUAAGGUAACGGCUUACCAAGGCAACGAUGCAUAGCCGACCUGAGAGGGUGAUCGGCCACACUGGAACUGAGACACGGUCCAGACUCCUACGGGAGGCAGCAGUAGGGAAUCUUCCGCAAUGGGCGAAAGCCUGACGGAGCAACGCCGCGUGAGUGAUGAAGGUCUUCGGAUCGCAAAACUCUGUCAUUAGGGAAGAACAUAUGUGUAAGUAACUGUGCACAUCUUGACGGUACCUAAUCAGAAAGCCACGGCUAACUACGUG